This 454-nucleotide ribosomal RNA is filed under the name uncultured bacterium. Its description in RNAcentral is "bacterial SSU rRNA". It matches the Rfam family "Bacterial small subunit ribosomal RNA", at positions 8 to 507 of the family's 1533-position model. The record is from RNAcentral.
AGAGUUUGAUCAUGGCUACAGAACGAACGCUGGCGGCAUGCCUAACACAUGCAAGUCGAACGAAGCCUUCGGGCUUAGUGGCGCACGGGUGCGUAACACGUGGGAAUCUGCCCUUCGGUUCGGAAUAACAGUCAGAAAUGACUGCUAAUACCGGAUGAUGACGUAAGUCCAAAGAUUUAUCGCCGAAGGAUGAGCCCGCGUAGGAUUAGGUAGUUGGUAGGGUAAUGGCCUACCAAGCCGACGAUCCUUAGCUGGUCUGAGAGGAUGAUCAGCCACACUGGGACUGAGACACGGCCCAGACUCCUACGGGAGGCAGCAGUGGGGAAUAUUGGACAAUGGGCGAAAGCCUGAUCCAGCAAUGCCGCGUGAGUGAUGAAGGCCUUAGGGUUGUAAAGCUCUUUUACCAGGGAUGAUAAUGACAGUACCUGGAGAAUAAGCUCCGGCUAACUCCGUG